Molecule: ribosomal RNA, 542 nt
Filed under: Klebsiella oxytoca
Lineage: Bacteria; Pseudomonadati; Pseudomonadota; Gammaproteobacteria; Enterobacterales; Enterobacteriaceae
Also listed under: 1 other name
Description: partial 23S ribosomal RNA
Rfam family: Bacterial large subunit ribosomal RNA
Source: RNAcentral
GGUUAAGCGACUAAGCGUACACGGUGGAUGCCCUGGCAGUCAGAGGCGAUGAAGGACGUGCUAAUCUGCGAAAAGCGUCGGUAAGGUGAUAUGAACCGUUAUAGCCGGCGAUGUCCGAAUGGGGAAACCCAGUGCAAUUCGUUGCACUAUCGUUAACUGAAUACAUAGGUUAACGAGGCGAACCGGGGGAACUGAAACAUCUAAGUACCCCGAGGAAAAGAAAUCAACCGAGAUUCCCCCAGUAGCGGCGAGCGAACGGGGAGCAGCCCGGAGUCUGAAUCAGCUUGUGUGUUAGUGGAAGCGUCUGGAAAGUCGCAGGGUACAGGGUGAUACUCCCGUACACUAAAACACACAGGUUGUGAACUCGAAGAGUAGGGCGGGACACGUGGUAUCCUGUCUGAAUAUGGGGGGACCAUCCUCCAAGGCUAAAUACUCCUGACUGACCGAUAGUGAACCAGUACCGUGAGGGAAAGGCGAAAAGAACCCCGGCGAGGGGAGUGAAAAAGAACCUGAAACCGUGUACGUACAAGCAGUAGGAGCCC